GUAACACGUAGUCAACAUGCCCAGGGGACGUGGAUAACCUCGGGAAACUGAGGAUAAACCGCGAUAGGUCAUCACUUCUGGAAUGGGUAAUGACUUAAAUCUAUAUGGCCCCUGGAUUGGACUGCGGCCGAUCAGGCUGUUGGUGAGGUAAUGGCCCACCAAACCUGUAACCGGUACGGGCUCUGAGAGGAGGAGCCCGGAGAUGGGCACUGAGACAAGGGCCCAGGCCCUAUGGGGCGCAGCAGGCGCGAAACCUCUGCAAUAGGCGAAAGCUUGACAGGGUUACUCUGAGUGAUUUCCGUUAAGGAGAUCUUUUGGCACCUCUAAAAAUGGUGCAGAAUAAGGGGUGGGCAAGUCUGGUGUCAGCCGCCGCGGUAAUACCAGCACCCCGAGUGGUCGGGACGUUUAUUGGGCCUAAAGCAUCCGUAGCCGGUUCUACAAGUCUUCCGUUAAAUCCACCUGCUUAACAGAUGGGCUGCGGAAGAUACUAUAGAGCUAGGAGGCGGGAGAGGCAAGCGGUACUCGAUGGGUAGGGGUAAAAUCCGUUGAUCCAUUGAAGACCACCAGUGGCGAAGGCGGCUUGCCAGAACGCGCUCGACGGUGAGGGAUGAAAGCUGGGGGAGCAAACCGGAUUAGAUACCCGGGUAGUCCCAGCUGUAAACGAUGCAGACUCGGUGAUGAGUUGGCUUAUUGCUAACUCAGUGCCGC
RNAcentral lists this ribosomal RNA (708 nucleotides) under uncultured archaeon. RNAcentral's name for it is "bacterial SSU rRNA". It matches the Rfam family "Archaeal small subunit ribosomal RNA", at positions 93 to 804 of the family's 1478-position model. The record is from RNAcentral.